Homo sapiens (human) is the source of this 107-nucleotide small nuclear RNA. NCBI's taxonomy places the organism in Eukaryota, Metazoa, Chordata, Mammalia, Primates, Hominidae. The record is from Ensembl.
GUGCUCGCUUUGGCAGCACAUAUAUUAAAACUGAAACAAUACAGAGAAGACUAGCAUGGUCCCUGCACAAGGAUGACAUGCAAAUUCAUGAAGCAUUCCAUAUUUUU